CAAAAGAGAAACCCUGAUUUCCGUGUCCAACGUUUGACCGUCCGUCUUAUUUAAAAAAAUUAUGAAAAAAAUUAAAAAGACAAGUCACACAUAAAAUAUUAAUCAUGUUUUAUCAUCUAACAACAAUGAAAAUACAAAUUAUAAAAAAAAAAUCAUAUAAGACGGACAAUUAAAGUUGGACACGGAAACCCAGGGUUUGCCUUUUU
RNAcentral lists this microRNA precursor (206 nucleotides) under Oryza sativa Japonica Group (Japanese rice). Its description in RNAcentral is "MIR812 microRNA precursor family". It matches the Rfam family "MIR812 microRNA precursor family". The record is from Rfam by way of RNAcentral. Lineage: Eukaryota; Viridiplantae; Streptophyta; Magnoliopsida; Poales; Poaceae.